GUCCACACGGUAAACGAUGAAUACUCGCUGUUGGCGAUAUACAGUCAGCGGCCAAGCGAAAGCAUUAAGUAUUCCACCUGGGGAGUACGCCGGCAACGGUGAAAACUCAAAAGGAAUUGACGGGGGGCCCCGCACAAGCGGAGGAACAUGUGGUUUAAUUCGAUGAUACGCGAGGAACCUUACCCGGGCUUAAAAUUGCACUGGACAGGCUCAGAGAUGGGCUCUUCUUCGGACCAGUGUGAAGGUGCUGCAUGGUUGUCGU
RNAcentral lists this ribosomal RNA (262 nucleotides) under uncultured bacterium. Its description in RNAcentral is "partial 16S ribosomal RNA". It matches the Rfam family "Bacterial small subunit ribosomal RNA", at positions 793 to 1055 of the family's 1533-position model. The record is from RNAcentral.